Molecule: ribosomal RNA, 892 nt
Filed under: uncultured soil bacterium
Lineage: Bacteria
Description: bacterial SSU rRNA
Rfam family: Bacterial small subunit ribosomal RNA
Source: RNAcentral
CUUAACCCAGAGGCUGCUUCCGAAACUGCCGUGCUAGAGUGUGAGAGAGGCGAGUGGAAUUACGGGUGUAGCGGUGAAAUGCGUAGAUAUCCGUAGGAACAUCCGAGGCGAAGGCGGCUCGCUGGAUCACAACUGACGCUGAGGGACGAAAGCUAGGGGAGCAAACAGGAUUAGAUACCCUGGUAGUCCUAGCCCUAAACCAUCAGGACUUGGGGUUUGCCCUGUACGGGGCAAGUCCCGUAGCUAACGCGUUAAGUCCUGCGCCUGGGGAGUACGGUCGCAAGACUGAAACUCAAAGGAAUUGACGGGGGCCCGCACAAGCGGUGGAACAUGUGGUUCAAUUCGACGCAACGCGAAGAACCUUACCUGGGCUUGAACCGCACAGGACCAUCUUUGGAAACAGAGACUUCCCGCAAGGGACCUGUGUAGAGGUGCUGCAUGGCUGUCGUCAGCUCGUGCCGUGAGGUGUUGGGUUAAGUCCCGCAACGAGCGCAACCCUUACUCAUAGUUGCCACCCGCAAGGGGGAACUCUAUGAGGACUGCUCCGGAUAACGGAGAGGAAGGUGGGGAUGAGGUCAAGUCAGCAUGGCCUUUAUGUCCAGGGCUACACACGUGUUACAAUGCGCGCCACAAAGCGUUGCAAACCCGCGAGGGGGAGCUAAUCGCAAAAAAGCGCGCUCAGUUCGGAUUGCAGUCUGCAACUCGACUGCAUGAAGCCGGAAUCGCUAGUAAUGGCGCAUCAGAACGGCGCCGUGAAUACGUUCCCGGGCCUUGUACACACCGCCCGUCACAUCACGAAAGUGGGCUGUACUAGAAAUCGCCGUGCCAACCGCAAGGAGGCAGGCGCUCAAGGUAUGACUCAUGAUUGGGGUGAAGUCGUAACAAGGUAACC